Molecule: ribosomal RNA, 253 nt
Filed under: uncultured bacterium
Lineage: Bacteria
Description: partial 16S ribosomal RNA
Rfam family: Bacterial small subunit ribosomal RNA
Source: RNAcentral
UACGAAGGGGGCUAGCGUUGCUCGGAAUUACUGGGCGUAAAGCGCACGUAGGCGGAUUGUUAAGUCGGGGGUGAAAUCCUGGAGCUCAACUCCAGAACUGCCUUCGAUACUGGCGAUCUCGAGUUCGGGAGAGGUGAGUGGAACUGCGAGUGUAGAGGUGAAAUUCGUAGAUAUUCGCAAGAACACCAGUGGCGAAGGCGGCCCCCUGGACCGGUACUGACGCUGAGGCGCGAAAGCGUGGGUAGCAAACGGG